This 1206-nucleotide long non-coding RNA is filed under the name Ailuropoda melanoleuca (giant panda). Its description in RNAcentral is "lncRNA (ENSAMEG00000024017.1)". The record is from RNAcentral. Lineage: Eukaryota; Metazoa; Chordata; Mammalia; Carnivora; Ursidae.
GAAAAAUGGAAAAUGAGAAUAUAAAUUACUAUAUCAUUGAUAAAAGACUAAUACCCCAGGAACAGGGAACUUCUAAAAAUGUGAGAAAAAUAUACAAAAAAACCCAUCCUUCAUAACAAUGAACUAAAAAACAUAGAUAAUUUAUUUAAAACAUUUAAAAGUGAUUUGAAAAUAUGGAAAUAUGUUCAAAAUCAUUUGUAAUCAAAAGAUGCACACAAAAUCUAGCAUACCUAUCAGAAUGGCAAAAAUUAAGAACUACAAUAACACACUCUGCUCGCAAGAGUAUAGAGAAAUGUGAAGUCCUACAUACCUAGUAGGAAAUGGAUAUUGGUAAAAUCCUUGUUGAGGAGAAUUUUGAAAUUUCUAACCAAACUAGAUAGAUGUUAACAUUUUGAUCCUGCCAUCCAAAUUCUAGGAAUUUACCCUUGAGACACAUCUCAUUCAGUAGAAAAAUACAUGUGUGUUUUUUAAGCAUGUCAUACAUUCUUUUAUAUUUAUCAGAAUCUCCAAACUAUUUUACGUUCUGCAUUUUCUUAUGUAAGAGUAAAAACAAAUACCUACCCAGAAAUUUGAAAUAGAUAUGAAUGAAGGAAAGUAGCCCUUAGAAAGAAACGUGUAUUUGUGACACUAGCCUAUGUUUAUGACAAGCCUGGGAUUUAUUGUUUUGUCAGAAGAAUGGUCACAACGUAAAUGAUUUCUUUUAGACAUUUCUUUUUCUAAAACUUCAUUUACUCAUCUCUGUUUCUACAUACCUUUCCUCGUUUUCAUACAGGUCUUCAUAGGUGAGGCGGAGUUCGGGUCUCUGGUAAGAGGCACACCUGCGGAUUCUACUGGCCUCCGUUACAGCUGUGUGCUGUCAGAACCUUACAUGGUUGUGUUUCAGGGCCUUGGGCUUCCCCGUUCUGCACAUGUGGUGAGGAAGCUCUCUGCUUGAGGGAAUGUUUGUUUCCAUCCGGACCCUCCUGGGGCAAGCGGUGCUGUCCCCGAGGGGGUCACAGCGGAGGCAGCGGUGGCAGGAAGAACUCAGUGAACGGACGAGCCCUGCGCACACAUGAAGCGGCUUUCUGCGGAGCUCUCGGAAUUUGCUGGCAACCUCUGGAGGCGGAGGUAAAUUCAGGGCACUUGAACCAUGGCAUCUGAAUAAACCAGUAAUAUGGAUAUAAAGAUGCGGUGUGAUGCUAUUAUUGUCCACAUCUGAGAAAUGGG